UAACAAUGCAAAUAAAUACAAUGUAUUGUGGCUGGUUUUUAUGAGAAAUAAGAUUUAGUGGAGUUUAAAUUUUCAUAUUUGUUUAUUUUUGAGAAGUAUGUAAAACAAGAGUUUUUAACAUUUUUUCUAAAAUAUAUAAUAUAUUUGUGAAAAAACGCAAUACUGGAAAAUCACGUAAUUUGAUGAAAAUAAAUUAUAUUUUUAUGUUUAUGUCAACAAAAUAUAGUGGCGUUUUUUAUUCGUAGAGAAAUACAUAUUGUGUAUAUCAUAUAUACUUAGUGCUUAAAUUUGAAAAUUUUAUUGUGUGUGAAUAUGUUUCAAAAUUCCUUUUAAGUGGAAUUUUAAAAAUUAAAAUGAAAUAAAAACGUUUAAAUUAAAUGUCUGGCGAAAACGAAACAGAAGGAUAAAAUGUAAUGAAGAUACAAUAAUACAAAUGUGAAAAAUAACAAAUUUAAGUAAAAAAAUUGUGUGUAUGCCAUCUGCAAACAAUGACAUGUUUUGAGAGAGAAAAGUCAUAAUAAAGCGAAAUAUUCAGGAUAUGGAUUUGCUCCGUUAAUGUUAAUCAUAAGUGUAGACACAAAAAUGUGGCGAUUUUUAUUGUAUACCUCCCAUAUACCCUUUACAAAAGCAAAGACUGAAUUCAUACUCUAAACGAUCGUUUUACUACUACGACAACAAUUCACAAUAUUGAGAAAUAAUGAAUUUAUUGAUCAGUAUUUAAAAACAUCUCAUUGAUUUCUAUAUGCGAUUUCGUAAGGAAACUAUAUCGCUUAAUAAUCACCAUUAUUAAAAAGGAAGUAUUUGCAAAACAAUAAUAAAACUUUGAGGAAGUUUUAUAUAUAUGCAUUUCUAAUAAAAUAUAUAAUAAUAAGCGUAUAAUUUUAAAUAUAUAUGUAUAUGUACAUAAGGAAUUACUUACAAAUAUGACAUCUAAUGAAACUACUUUCUAUAAACACAAAUCGAGCUCAGAACAUUGUAAUCUAAAAGGAUGUCAGAGGAAACGAAAGCCUUUAAUUGAUAUAGCUAUAAGAUUACUGCUUUACGGAUUUAAUUGGCUGAUAUUAUGGUCUGCAAUACUAGGAGUAGUAGUCGAGUGUAUAGCAGGACAACAUAUAAAUAAUAAAAAUCUUAAUUCUACACACACUCAAGUAUUUUCAUCCGGGGAAAUUGUGGCCCAAUUUACCCUCCCUCAGAUAUCUGUUGGACAUACUGAUGAACAAGCCGUAACUACGGCUGAUGGAUUGCCCGACUCCUCAACAAUUACUUCAAGUAUUGGAAAUUUUUCAACAACAACUUCUUCAGUUGGAUCUUCGUCUUCUUCAAAUGGUAGUUUACAAAAUUAUCUCACACAUUUAGCGUACGAUUAUAAACGUAAUGUUUUUUAUGCGGGCGCCACAAACAAAAUUUUACAGUUAAAUGAAAACCUAAGAGUAUUAUCUCAAGCUUUAACUGGUCCAAAAAACGAUUCUCCUCAGUGCCAUGCCAGCGGUUGCUCGGAUGAAGUUGAGACUUCGCUUGUAAAUAAUCACAAUAAAAUUCUGAUUGUUAGUUAUUCUCAAGGGGAUGGUAUAUUAAUAGCAUGUGGUAGUGUGCGACAGGGUGCCUGUGAUAUCUAUAAUUUAGCACGUUUUCCGAAAAAUUCGCGUUUUAUCGAUAUACCGUUAGCGGCUAAUGAUGAGUUUGCCUCGACUUAUGCCUUUGUUGGCCCUGCAAAGUAUUCCUGGAAAAAGGAAGACAUUUUGUAUGUCGGUACAACAUUUACUAAUGUUGGAGAUUAUAGACAUGAUGUGCCUGCAAUAUCGUCGAGACGUUUGGAAGAUUUGAAUUACGCUGAAUUUGAAAUCAAACAAUCGAUUAUAAAUAUAGAUGUUAAGUACAGAGAUCACUUCCUGGUCGAUUAUGUUUAUGGAUUUAAUUCAUCGGAGUUCGCUUAUUUCGCUAUAGUUCAAAAGCGUUCCCACUUAGCUGAAGAGGCAGGAUAUGUUACACGCUUAGCGCGAAUCUGUAUUACGGACUCCAACUAUGAUAGUUAUACAGAAAUAACUAUACAAUGUUUAGCAACCCACAAUAAAGUUGAUUAUAAUAUAUUACGAGAUGCUAAAAUAACUGAAGCUGGUCAAAAGUUGGCCCAACAAAUGGGAAUCAAAAAGGGUGAUCAUGUUUUAGUAGCCAUAUUUUCACCAUCUAGAGAAAUUACAAAUCAGCCUGAAGAUAAAUCUGCUAUGUGUAUUUACAGUCUAAAAGAAAUAGAGGAAGUAUUUAACGAAAAUAUUCAUCUAUGUUUUAAUGGUACAAUAAAGGACCGUAAUUUGGGUUAUAUAUCAGGUACCAUUGAUGAUGGCCGCUGUCCUAGGACUACUGGCAAUGUGUAUAACUUUUGUAAUGUUGGGCUUAAAAUAAGUGGUGUAUCUCCAAUUACUUCGAAUGCGUUAUUUCACUUUGAUAACGUUUCUAUAACAUCUGUAACAGCAACUACCACUGGACCACAUUCCUUAGCGUUUCUUGGCACGGACAAAGGAAAAAUAAAAAAAGUUUUAAUAUCUGGACAUCAUCCUGGAGAAUAUGAAGAAAUAAUGGUAGAUCCUGGAAACCAAAUAUUACAGGAUACUAUGAUGUCACCAAAAAAAGAUUUUCUAUAUGUACUAUCUAAACGCAAGAUUACCAAACUGCGUAUUGAACACUGUUCAGUUUAUACAAACUGUUCUUCAUGCCUUGAAUCACGUGAUCCAUUUUGUGGAUGGUGUUCUUUGGAAAAACGCUGUACUGUACGUUCUACAUGUCAAAAAGAUACUUCUGCUGCUCGCUGGUUGUCAUUAGGUAGUGGUCAGCAGUGCAUAGAUUUUGAGUCAAUAUUACCGGAUAAAAUACCUAUUACAGAAGUCUCGCAAGUACAACUAAUCAUUCGCACCCUCCCAGAACCUUUCAAUGGAAAGUAUCGUUGUGUCUUUGGCAAUUCUUCACCUAUAGAUGCAGAAGUACUUGAAAGUGGUCUAUCCUGUAUGACACCUCCAUUAUCCCAACGACCGCUUAUACCGCCAAAUUCUGAUCAUGUUUUAGUUCCAUUGUCUGUGCAUAGCUCGGAGACAAACAAAGAUUUUGUCACGCGUUCGUUUGCCUUUUUCGACUGUUCGCGACACAAUACAUGUCAAACAUGUGUUCACAGCGCUUGGGAUUGUAACUGGUGUAUAUAUGACAACAAAUGUGUGCACAAAAUGCAGCAAUGUAGGAAUUUGGAAAAUGUUAUUGUUAAAGAGUCUGAAUGUCCACAUUUGAAACACUCCAAAGAACCAAUUUUAAUGCCUGUACGAGUUCCAAAAGAAAUACGAUUUGAAAUUGAAAAUUUGCCGAAACCAAAAAGUGCACACUCUGGAUUUUUAUGCACUGUCCAAAUAGAAGCAGCUCAAAUGUUAUUACCGGCUCGUAUUGAAAACAACAGAAUUGUAGUUUGUGAAAAAACACCAUAUUUCUAUGAAACAAAUACAUAUGAAUAUCAAGCUAAAGUUGAUAUAACUUGGAAUCGCCAACAUUAUAUAGAUACAGCAAUUGUAACACUUUACAAAUGUGAUGUAUUGGGAUCACAUCGUGAACAUGCUGAUUGUAGUUUAUGUGUAACAAGAGAUCCAAAAUAUCAUUGUGCUUGGUGCGCAAAUACAUGUGUCUAUAACGAAACUUGUGCUGCAAUUACGGCACUAAACAAUGGUGUAGACUUAGACGUAUUAUCUUCAUCUUCGACACCAGUGCUUGCUCCAAAACAUAACUUUGAGUCAAAAUUUAAUGAAUGCCCUAAACCACGCAUAGAUAUGAUUAAACCUUUGUUUGGACCUAUUGAAGGCGGCACUCUGGUAACAAUUGAGGGUAGCAAUUUAGGGAUAAGAGAAGAAGAUGUAAAGGGCAAGAUAUCUAUUGGUUCUGUGCCUUGUGAAUUGGUCAAUUAUGAAAUUUCGGUAAAAAUUGAAUGUCGCACCGGUGCCGUCAGUCACGAGCUUACUGCACCAGUAAAAGUUUUUAAUGGCGCAGGUUUUACUGAGUCGAGUGUACAGUUCCAGUUUAAGGAUAUACAGUUAAAUGGUUUAACACCAACAGUGGGUCCCAAAUCCGGGGGAACUAAAAUUACUUUAAUGGGAAAAUAUUUAAAUAUUGGUUCUAAUAUACGUGCUUUUCUAGACAACUAUGAAUGCUUUAUUAAUAUGAUUCAGGCAUCAUCAUCACGCCUGACAUGCAUUACUUCGGAAUCAUCACAACCAGAACCAAUUAGAACGUUACACCUAAUGGUUGAUGGUGCUAAUCGCACAUACACCUGCCAAAUGCCUCAGCUUCAACAGAAUAUGCGGUCACUAUAUGAUCAACAAAUUUUGUUUCACAAUAACUAUCAUUACAAUUUACCUUCUCUAGCAAUGCCGUGUUCAAUAUAUAAUUACACUCAGGACCCCACCAUAAUGGAAAUUAAACCACUGCGAAGUUUUGCAAGCGGUGGUCGACUUUUAACAGUCCAUGGCAUGUUUCUGGAUUCAAUUCAAAAACCUGAACUAGAAGUUUAUUUUGAAAGCGAGCGAUUAAACAAAACUACUUGUGUGGUUAUAAAUUCAAGCCAAAUGGAAUGCCCAUCUCCAGCUGUAUCUCAAAAGUUUCUAGCAUAUAAAACUGCCUUAGACCAACAGGCAGAUAAUGCAGGCAAUAAUCAAGCUACUGCAUCAUCAGUUUCGUCGGGUUAUAAUUCUCUAAGAAAGCUAGAAAACCCAUAUAGCCGAGAUAUGGCCUAUAUUUAUAGUACAACUGGCAAUAUUUAUAAUAACAAUGAUGGUUUUUACCAAGCCCAGGAUGUGGCAGCUUUUGUAAAAAUACGUGAGACUCAGUUAAAUCUGCAACUGGGUUUCAAUAUGGAUGAUGUUCAAUGGGUGAAGGACUUAAAUAAAUACUUUCCGAGCCUAAGAAGUACCAUAGUGUAUGUACAAGAUCCGAAGUACUACCCUUUUAAUGAAAAUCCAAAACUUUACAAGGGCGAUACACUAGUAAUUGAGGGAGAAAUGUUAAAUGUUGCUGCAGAUGAAUCAGAUGUCAAAGUUACCAUAGGAACAACGCAAUGUAAUGUUACUAGUUUAACGCUUACCCAAUUGCUAUGUACCCCACCGGAAAAACAGCCAGCUCCUACAAAUGAAAAUGGUGUGGAGCAGCUAAACGAUUUACCGCUUGUUGUAGUAAACGUUGGACGCAAUAUGCGCUUCGUAAUAGGGCAUAUAAAGUAUGAUUUAAUGAAACCGUAUUCGUUUUCUCAUGCCAUGUGGGUUAUUAUCUGUACAGUUGUUGUUGUUGUUGUACUCUUAAUAAUUGUUCUAUUCAUAUAUCGGCGAAAGACAACACAGGCCGAAAGAGAAUAUAAACGCAUACAAAUUCAAAUGAUUACAUUGGAGAGUAACGUUCGUUCAGAAUGUAAGCAGGCAUUUGCGGAACUGCAAACUGACAUGACAGAUUUAACGGCCGAUUUGGAAACAUCUGGUAUACCCACCUUAGAUCAUAUAAAUUAUAUUAUGAAAGUAUUUUUCCCAGGUGUAACAGAUCAUCCUAUAUUGAAUUCUCCAAAGUUGCGUAUAAAUAGUCCACAGACUAAUUAUGACACUGCCAUGUUGCAAUUUGAGCAACUAAUUAGCAACAAAUAUUUUGUAUUAACAUUCAUAGAGACAUUGGAAGCUCAAAAAUCAUUUAACAUACGAGACAAGGUCAAUGUGGCAUCUCUUUUGAUGAUUGUACUGAUGAACAAAAUGGAAUAUGCUACAGAAAUUUUAAAAUGUUUACUACUUCGUUUAGUAGACAAAUCAGUGUGUAGUAAACAUCCACAAUUAAUGUUGCGUCGUACAGAAAGUGUGGUCGAAAAAAUGCUUACCAACUAUAUGGCCAUUUGUAUGUAUGAUUAUUUAAAGGAAUAUGCUGGGUCAAGCUUGUUUUUAUUGUUUAAAGCCAUUAAACAUCAAAUUGAAAAAGGGCUAGUUGAUGCCAUAACCCACGACGCCCGAUAUUCUUUAUCAGAGGAAAGACUUUUGCAUGAACAAAUACCCCAUUCAGUUGUUAUGCUACAUAUCGUACAAGAUGAUUUAGAUGAAAAGGUACAAUGCAAAGUUUUAGACUGGGAUACGAUAUCCCAAGUCAAAUGCAAAAUUUUAGAUGCCUUGUUUAAAAACACUCCCUUUUCAAUGAGGCCAUCAGUACAUGAAGUUGAUUUAGAAUGGCGUCACGGCCGAGGUGGUCAUUUGAUACUACAAGAUGAGGAUUUAACAACGAAAACUAUUAACUGUUGGAAACGUUUAAAUACAUUAGCACAUUAUGGCGUUAAAGAAUCGGCUGUUAUGAGUUUAGUUGCCAGACAAAAUGAUAGUUUUAAUAUUCCAUAUACAAAACAGCAACCUCAUCCAUACAACAAUUUUUAUUACAUCAAUAAUUCACAAUCCCAUAUUAUAAUGAACAACGAUAUCGAAUCCGGCCUGCAACAGCCACGUGUUUAUCAUUUAAUAAAACCAUUAUUGCCCGAUCAUUAUAUGAACAUGAAAAAUUCAGCUAUAUCAUCGGGUGGUAACAACACCAAUAAUUCUGGAUCAGUAUGUGCGACUACGGGUGAACGCACACACAAAACCAUACCUGAAGUUUAUUUGACACGGCUUUUGGCAGCUAAGGGCACUAUACAAAAAUUUGUUGAUGAUUUUUUUGCUACUAUAUUAACAGUUAAUGAAGAAUUGCCUCCUGCAGUAAAAUGGUUAUUUGACUUACUAGAUGAAGCUGCACGAAGACACGAUAUUUAUGACACUGAUAUAGUUCAUGCAUGGAAGUCAAACAGCUUGCCUUUAAGAUUUUGGGUUAAUUUUAUAAAAAAUCCUGAUUUUAUAUUUGAUGUAAAUAAAACAGUUACUGUCGAUGCCAGUUUGAGCGGAAUUGCCCAAGCGUUUAUGGAUGCUUGUUCAGUUACCGAACAUAGAUUGGGUAAAGAUUCACCAUCCAAUAAAUUAUUAUUUGCCAAGGAUAUUCCUCAAUACCGUAAAAUGGUUAAGCAAUUCUACAGAGAUGUUGCUAGACUGCCACAAAUUAGCGAUCAGGAAAUGAGUACUGCUAUGCAGCAAUUAUCCAUACAACAAAAUGACGAAUUCGAUACUGUAGCUGCUCUAAAAGAGCUUUAUAUAUACGUUACCAAAUAUAAUGAUCAGAUAAUAAAUGCCUUAGAAAAUGAUAUAAAUUGUAAAAAAAUGCAUCUGGGCUACAAAUUGGAAAAUGUUGCAUUCACUUUAGAAGGAGAAGAGACUUCUGCUUGCUGACACUCAUUUAGAUUGCAUGCAGUUUUCCAAAAAUAUAUUUAUAUUCAAAGUAAUGUUUUAAAUAUGUCUUUUAGAGCCACGUCAAAAGAAAAUUUUUUGCAAAGCUUUCUUAAAGAUGCAGCCUAUUUUCUAACAUUUGGGAAUGUUCGAGAUAUUAACAAACAAAUAUGGCAUGGUCGACUUAGAAUGUUUUAAUUAAAUACUCAAAUAUAUUGUAUGGGGUCCCAGAUGAAUAUUAGUAUUUUCGGAUCUUCAUUGUGAUAUUUUUUUAAUAAUUUC
This 7574-nucleotide unclassified non-coding RNA is filed under the name Lucilia cuprina (Australian sheep blowfly). Its description in RNAcentral is "plexin-B, transcript variant X4". The record is from RNAcentral. Lineage: Eukaryota; Metazoa; Arthropoda; Insecta; Diptera; Calliphoridae.